Molecule: ribosomal RNA, 497 nt
Filed under: uncultured bacterium
Lineage: Bacteria
Description: partial 16S ribosomal RNA
Rfam family: Bacterial small subunit ribosomal RNA
Source: RNAcentral
GAUGAACGCUGGCGGCGUACCUAAUACAUGCAAGUCGAGCGAACAGACGAUGAUCUUGCUCCUCUGACGUUAGCGGCGGACGGGUGAGUAACACGUGGAUAACCUACCUAUAAGACUUGGAUAACUUCGGGAAACCGGAGCUAAUACCGGAUAAUAUAUUGAACCGCAUGGUUCAAUAGUUAAUGACGGUUUUGCUGUCACUUAUAGAUGGUUCCUCGCCGCAUUAGCUAGUUGGUAAGGUAACGGCUUACCAAGGCAACGAUGCGUAGCCGACCUGAGAGGGUGAUCGGCGACACUGGAAGUGAGACACGGUCCAGAGACCUACGGGAGGCAGCAGUAGGGAAUGUAGCGCAAUGGGCGAAAGCCUGACGGAGCAACGCCGCGUGAGUGAAGAAGGUCUUCGGAGCGUAAAACUCUGUUAUUAGGGAAGAACAAAUGUGUAAGGAACUAUGCACGUCGUGACGGUACCUAAACAGAAAGCAACGGCUAACUACGUG